Molecule: ribosomal RNA, 436 nt
Filed under: Porphyromonas sp. oral taxon 279
Lineage: Bacteria; Pseudomonadati; Bacteroidota; Bacteroidia; Bacteroidales; Porphyromonadaceae
Description: bacterial SSU rRNA
Rfam family: Bacterial small subunit ribosomal RNA
Source: RNAcentral
GAUGAACGCUAGCGAUAGGCGUUGACACAUGCAGUCGAGGCAGCAUGGUUUAGCUUGCUAAGAUGAUGCGACCGGGCCGGGUGCGUACGCGUAUGCAACUGCCUCCAGAGGGGAUACCCGUCGAAAGACGGACUAAUCCGCGACCUCCAUCUUGGGCAUCCAAGGUGAGGAAAUGAAUUCGCUGUGAGAUAGGCAUGCGUCCCAUUAGCUAGUUGGUGAGGUAACGGCUCACCAAGGCAACGAUGGGUAGGGGAACUGAGAGGCUGAACCCCCACACUGGUACUGAGACACGGACCAGACUCCUACGGGAGGCAGCAGUGAGGAAUAUUGGUCAAUGGGCGAGAGCCUGAACCAGCCAAGUCGCGUAAAGGAUGACAGUCUUAUGGAUUGUAAACUUCUUUUAUACGGGAAUAACAAGAGUCACGUGUACUCCCUG